CUAGACAGCCUUUCUUGUCUAUGUAAUCAAACCGUUAAGGAGUUUCCUCAAACCGAGGUUUCUUUUAUUUAUUUAUUUAUUUAUUUAUUUAUUUAUUUAUUUAUUUAUUGUUUUUGUAGGAAGGGAGGAAGGGAGGAAGGCAGGAAGAGAGGAAAGGAGGAAGGGAGGGAGGAGGGAAGGAAGGGAGGGAGGGAGGGAGAGAAGGGAAGGAAGGAAAUCAGGUAAUGAGAGAGACAUUGCCAACCUGGAUCUAGAGGUCUACCAGUUGAUUUCUUUUUUUCUUUUUUUUUUUUUUGAGAGAAGGAAAGAAAAAAAAAAAGGAGUGAAGGAGAGGAAGAAAGAGGAAGAAAAAGAGGGAAAGAGAAUGGAAAUGUUGCUUUAUUCUAAAAAAAAAUGGGUAUUAAUAAUGGCCAAUCAAUAUUUCAUUUAAACCUAUGAGUAGGUGUGAUGUGGUAUUGACAAGAAUGUAUAUUUUGUGUAUUUAAAGUGGAGAGCUCUAUAAAUAUUUAUUAAGUUCACUUGUUCCAGGUCUGAGUUCGAGUCCCUGAUAUCCUUAUUAAUUUUCUGUCUCGUUGAGUCUAAGUCUCUAUUUCUCUGGGUGUUAGGAUCGUUAGCUCUUACUGUUGCAUUGAUCCUUUUACCACUAUAUCUUUGUUGCUUUAAAAUCUAUUUUACCAGAUACGAGAAUUGCAUCUCCUGCUUUUUAUUUAUUUAUUUAUUUUUCUUGUACAGAUCUUGUAAUCUAAUCUGAAGACAAAGUAUUUCUUUUUUUUUUUUUUUAGAGAAAAAAGAAAGGAAGAAAGAAAAAAGAACGAAAGAGAGAAAGGAAGAGGAAGAGAAAGAGGGAGAGAGAAUGGAAAUCUUGCUCUAUUGCCCAGGCUGGAAUGCAGUCUAAAAAUAGCCACACAAAAACCCUCCCAGUGCAAGCAUAUAAACUCAACCACUGAGAAAUCUGUUCUGUUUGAAGCAGUGCAAAAGACUUUUAAGCCACCCGGCUUGGUUUUAAUGAGCGCUGACAACUCCGAAGUCUUGCUAGUAGCCGUCACUGCAGUUGCACUGUGUGUGGUGAAUGUAUCUGUGAAGAAAUCUGUGUCUCAACUCUGCUCGGGGCAGCUGCCUUCACAUGGAGCCAGAAUUGGAGCCAGCCAAAUGAACGGCCGCAAUGAAUCAAUAUCAAAGACAAAACAAAUAUGUUUUAAGACUUUCUGACAUAUAUUCUGGGGAGCACUCCACAUUCCUGAGGGGACCUUGGACACAUGUCAAGGAGUUAAACAGACAUCCUCUGGAGUAGCUGAAACUGAGACAGCUAGAAGUCUGCAAGAGAAAUGCAUCUGUCUAUCCUAAUUAGACAACCUGGGCAGCAAAAAUAAACACGGAUUUCUACAAAGCCCCAAAUCAAGAGUCACAAAGGCAUAAAUUACUAAUGAAGGUAUGAUUAUGAUUUGCAAUUGAGAUGCUUCUCACAUGGGCAACUUUAUGUGUUGUCCUUCAGGAUAAAUAUCAAAGGAAUACUUUAUUUAUUUAAUGUUGAAAGUAAUCUAAAAAAAGAUACUAUUUAAAGAUAACAGGUAAUUAUUCUUUGAAUACAGUUGGAUAUGCCAC
RNAcentral lists this long non-coding RNA (1602 nucleotides) under Callithrix jacchus (white-tufted-ear marmoset). Its description in RNAcentral is "lncRNA (ENSCJAG00000061599.2)". The record is from RNAcentral. Lineage: Eukaryota; Metazoa; Chordata; Mammalia; Primates; Cebidae.